RNAcentral lists this ribosomal RNA (450 nucleotides) under Paenibacillus sp. R-46203. RNAcentral describes it as "bacterial SSU rRNA". It matches the Rfam family "Bacterial small subunit ribosomal RNA", at positions 24 to 468 of the family's 1533-position model. Lineage: Bacteria; Bacillati; Bacillota; Bacilli; Caryophanales; Paenibacillaceae. The record is from RNAcentral.
UCAGGACGAACGCUGGCGGCGUGCYUAAUACAUGCAAGUCGAGCGGAGUUAUCCUUCGGGRUAGCUUAGCGGCGGACGGGUGAGUAACACGUAGGCAACCUGCCUGCAAGACUGGGAUAACAUUCGGAAACGAAUGCUAAUACCGGAUACGCAGUUUCCCCGCAUGAGGGAACUGGGAAAGACGGCGCAAGCUGUCACUUGCAGAUGGGCCUGCGGUGCAUUAGCUAGUUGGUGGGGUAACGGCUCACCAAGGCGACGAUGCAUAGCCGACCUGAGAGGGUGAUCGGCCACACUGGGACUGAGACACGGCCCAGACUCCUACGGGAGGCAGCAGUAGGGAAUCUUCCGCKAAUGGACGAAAGUCUGACGGAGCAACGCCGCGUGAGUGAUGAAGGUUCUCGGAUCGUAAAGCUCUGUUGCCAGGGAAGAACAGCCAGGCGAGUAACUGCG